Uranotaenia lowii is the source of this 1056-nucleotide long non-coding RNA. RefSeq lists it as uncharacterized. The transcript has 3 exons. The record is from RefSeq and is a predicted model, not a curated record. NCBI's taxonomy places the organism in Eukaryota, Metazoa, Arthropoda, Insecta, Diptera, Culicidae.
UACGAACUGAUUUAUUGGUUUAUGCUGGCUGGAUCAAAUCGGUUUUGGACCAUCACGAUCACACGAUCGGUGGUUUGAGAGUGAGUUCUCGGGAGAGAACUCACCUCGCGUUUAGUCGCUGGGGUGGCUCUUAUUUUAUAGCAACAAAUUAAUACCGUUCCACAACAUGCCGGCCCCCUUGAAACCAUACGGGUUUCGAAACAAAACAUUAUACACAUCAAAACUUAAGUGCUAACAAUUAUUUGCAAUGCUUAUCAACUAACGUUAUACAGUACAAUAUAAAUAUUUUUUACAACUCGUUAAAAUUAACAUCAAACAUUCAGUCGACAAACACUAUGUCCGUGUAUACGCUUCUUAAACAAACUGGAAUCUCAACAACCGGAUCGCAUUUGCUCUCUCUCCUCUCGAUGCUAUGCGUGGUGAGUGGCACUGAGGGAACGGAUGAGACAAACACAUGCAUUUGCUUGUUGUUUUGGCUGGCUGGUUUUCAGAUGAUUAGCAGUUCGAGAAUGUUGGACCAUACGGGAAUCAAAAUCACAAAAUUUCGUUGUAAAAACAUCACACUUUCGAAGGUGCUGUUGCUGUUGGAAUCGCUGAGUGCCCCUCGCUGGGUGGUGGAUUUAGUUUUGUCGCUGUUGUUGGAUAAUUAUGCUGGCUGGCGAACAGCAGCGAAAUCCAUAGGCCGUGUCGAAUUCGAGUAAAGGUGACGAUGAAACUUGUUGGUUGGUGGGUGUGAUGCAUGAUCGAAACCGGACGCCGAUAAUCUGCUGUAGACCGUUCAGUGCAGCAGGUUGAGCAUGUUGAGUAAGUCGAUUCUAAGCCUGUCGAUCUUCGACCAGAGGCUGAUGUUCGACCGUUCGUUUACCGUUGAACCGUGCAUCAACCUGUCGAUCUCCGACCAGAGGUUGAUACAGAGUAUGUGCUGGGCCGAUGUUUCACGCAACGUGUGGUUCACCGAAGAAUGUUGUGUCACUGUUCAUACUGAUGACUGAAGCUAGAAACCGCUGCUGUUUUCACCCACCCGAAGAGUAUUGGUGUUGCGUUGUGACCGGUGCU